AUACUUCCCUGGCUUAGAGGAUACAGUGAUCAAAUAGGCGGUUCACAAAGGGUGGGCCGCUUCAUUGCACUGCAUAGUGGUUCACCCUUGUGAUUGUCUCUAAUGCUGAACACCCGGACGCGUAAUUUUUGGUGGUGGGGACUGUGUUUGCCGCAUCCCCCUU
Small nuclear RNA from Bombyx mandarina (wild silkworm), 163 nucleotides. RefSeq annotates it as U1 spliceosomal RNA. The record is from RefSeq and is a predicted model, not a curated record. NCBI's taxonomy places the organism in Eukaryota, Metazoa, Arthropoda, Insecta, Lepidoptera, Bombycidae.